This 486-nucleotide ribosomal RNA is filed under the name uncultured bacterium. RNAcentral describes it as "bacterial SSU rRNA". It matches the Rfam family "Bacterial small subunit ribosomal RNA", at positions 28 to 507 of the family's 1533-position model. The record is from RNAcentral.
GAUGAACGCUAGCUACAGGCUUAACACAUGCAAGUCGAGGGGCAGCACUAGGUAGCAAUACUGAGGUGGCGACCGGCGCACGGGUGCGUAACGCGUAUCCAACCUUCCCGAUACUCUUGGAUAGCCUUCCGAAAGGGAGAUUAAUACAAGAUGGUGUUUCACUUUCGCAUGUUAUUGAAACUAAAGAUUUAUCGGUAUCGGAUGGGGAUGCGUGACAUUAGAUAGUAGGCGGGGUAACGGCCCACCUAGUCUACGAUGUCUAGGGGUUCUGAGAGGAAGGUCCCCCACACUGGAACUGAGACACGGUCCAGACUCCUACGGGAGGCAGCAGUGAGGAAUAUUGGUCAAUGGUCGGAAGACUGAACCAGCCAAGUAGCGUGAAGGAUGACUGCCCUAUGGGUUGUAAACUUCUUUUAUACGGGAACAAACCCCGGUACGUGUACCGGAUUGCGUGUACCGUAUGAAUAAGCAUCGGCUAACUCCGUG